This 1422-nucleotide ribosomal RNA is filed under the name Enterococcus durans. Its description in RNAcentral is "bacterial SSU rRNA". It matches the Rfam family "Bacterial small subunit ribosomal RNA". The record is from RNAcentral. Lineage: Bacteria; Bacillati; Bacillota; Bacilli; Lactobacillales; Enterococcaceae.
CAGUCGUACGCUUCUUUUUCCCCGGAGCUUGCUCCACCGGAAAAAGAAGAGUGGCGAACGGGUGAGUAACACGUGGGUAACCUGCCCAUCAGAAGGGGAUAACACUUGGAAACAGGUGCUAAUACCGUAUAACAAUCGAAACCGCAUGGUUUUGAUUUGAAAGGCGCUUUCGGGUGUCGCUGAUGGAUGGACCCGCGGUGCAUUAGCUAGUUGGUGAGGUAACGGCUCACCAAGGCCACGAUGCAUAGCCGACCUGAGAGGGUGAUCGGCCACAUUGGGACUGAGACACGGCCCAAACUCCUACGGGAGGCAGCAGUAGGGAAUCUUCGGCAAUGGACGAAAGUCUGACCGAGCAACGCCGCGUGAGUGAAGAAGGUUUUCGGAUCGUAAAACUCUGUUGUUAGAGAAGAACAAGGAUGAGAGUAACUGUUCAUCCCUUGACGGUAUCUAACCAGAAAGCCACGGCUAACUACGUGCCAGCAGCCGCGGUAAUACGUAGGUGGCAAGCGUUGUCCGGAUUUAUUGGGCGUAAAGCGAGCGCAGGCGGUUUCUUAAGUCUGAUGUGAAAGCCCCCGGCUCAACCGGGGAGGGUCAUUGGAAACUGGGAGACUUGAGUGCAGAAGAGGAGAGUGGAAUUCCAUGUGUAGCGGUGAAAUGCGUAGAUAUAUGGAGGAACACCAGUGGCGAAGGCGGCUCUCUGGUCUGUAACUGACGCUGAGGCUCGAAAGCGUGGGGAGCAAACAGGAUUAGAUACCCUGGUAGUCCACGCCGUAAACGAUGAGUGCUAAGUGUUGGAGGGUUUCCGCCCUUCAGUGCUGCAGCUAACGCAUUAAGCACUCCGCCUGGGGAGUACGACCGCAAGGUUGAAACUCAAAGGAAUUGACGGGGGCCCGCACAAGCGGUGGAGCAUGUGGUUUAAUUCGAAGCAACGCGAAGAACCUUACCAGGUCUUGACAUCCUUUGACCACUCUAGAGAUAGAGCUUCCCCUUCGGGGGCAAAGUGACAGGUGGUGCAUGGUUGUCGUCAGCUCGUGUCGUGAGAUGUUGGGUUAAGUCCCGCAACGAGCGCAACCCUUAUUGUUAGUUGCCAUCAUUUAGUUGGGCACUCUAGCAAGACUGCCGGUGACAAACCGGAGGAAGGUGGGGAUGACGUCAAAUCAUCAUGCCCCUUAUGACCUGGGCUACACACGUGCUACAAUGGGAAGUACAACGAGUCGCGAAGUCGCGAGGCUAAGCUAAUCUCUUAAAGCUUCUCUCAGUUCGGAUUGUAGGCUGCAACUCGCCUACAUGAAGCCGGAAUCGCUAGUAAUCGCGGAUCAGCACGCCGCGGUGAAUACGUUCCCGGGCCUUGUACACACCGCCCGUCACACCACGAGAGUUUGUAACACCCGAAGUCGGUGAGGUAACCUUUGGAGCCAGCCG